UUAGAGUUUGAUCCUGGCUCAGAUUGAACGCUGGCGGCAGGCCUAACACAUGCAAGUCGAGCGGAUGAAGAGAGCUUGCUCUCUGAUUCAGCGGCGGACGGGUGAGUAAUGCCUAGGAAUCUACCUGGUAGUGGGGGACAACGUUUCGAAAGGAACGCUAAUACCGCAUACGUCCUACGGGAGAAAGCAGGGGACCUUCGGGCCUUGCGCUAUCAGAUGAGCCUAGGUCGGAUUAGCUAGUAGGUGAGGUAAUGGCUCACCUAGGCGACGAUCCGUAACUGGUCUGAGAGGAUGAUCAGUCACACUGGAACUGAGACACGGUCCAGACUCCUACGGGAGGCAGCAGUGGGGAAUAUUGGACAAUGGGCGAAAGCCUGAUCCAGCCAUGCCGCGUGUGUGAAGAAGGUCUUCGGAUUGUAAAGCACCUUAAGUUGGGAGGAAGGGCAGUAAGUUAAUACCUUGCUGUUUUGACGUUACCAACAGAAUAAGCACCGGCUAACUUCGUGCCAGCAGCCGCGGUAAUACGAAGGGUGCAAGCGUUAAUCGGAAUUACUGGGCGUAAAGCGCGCGUAGGUGGUUCAGCAAGUUGGAGGUGAAAUCCCCGGGCUCAACCUGGGAACUGCCUCCAAAACUACUGAGCUAGAGUACGGUAGAGGGUAGUGGAAUUUCCUGUGUAGCGGUGAAAUGCGUAGAUAUAGGAAGGAACACCAGUGGCGAAGGCGACUACCUGGACUGAUACUGACACUGAGGUGCGAAAGCGUGGGGAGCAAACAGGAAAAGAUCCCCUGGUAGUCCACGCCGUAAACG
This 807-nucleotide ribosomal RNA is filed under the name uncultured bacterium. Its description in RNAcentral is "bacterial SSU rRNA". It matches the Rfam family "Bacterial small subunit ribosomal RNA", at positions 1 to 808 of the family's 1533-position model. The record is from RNAcentral.